AGCAGGCAGGGAUGAUCCCUCCAUUUUCCUGAGAUAAUCCUUAGGUGUAGAAAUAGAUGCAGUAGAUUAACAGCCUCGUAUAGAAAACUCCAUAUGUAUGGCUCUUGAUCCUGCAAAGAAACCACAUGUGGAAGUCUGUUUACUCAUACAGCUCUCCUUUCCUGAACCUGGGCACCUAUGUGCUAAGAUGGACUUUUAUAUAGCCUAUUGAUUUUUUUUAAAAAAAGGAAUAAAUAUCAAGAAAGUAGAUACAGGAUUAUAAAGUGACAAUAAAUGACAAUGACAAGUUUCUACAGUGAUUUAAUAAUUGGUUUUUAUAUAAUAAAUUAAACAUAAGAGACAGAUUUAUAGAUGUACAAAUCUUAUACUGCCAAUUAAUAAAUGCUUUCCAAUUCUGAACAA
This is a long non-coding RNA of Elgaria multicarinata webbii, 402 nucleotides long. RefSeq lists it as uncharacterized. Lineage: Eukaryota; Metazoa; Chordata; Lepidosauria; Squamata; Anguidae. The transcript is spliced from 2 exons. The record is from RefSeq and is a predicted model, not a curated record.